RNAcentral lists this non-coding RNA (185 nucleotides) under Saccharicrinis fermentans. Lineage: Bacteria; Pseudomonadati; Bacteroidota; Bacteroidia; Marinilabiliales; Marinilabiliaceae. The record is from RNAcentral.
CUUGCACAGUCACUUAUUGGUUUCUUAACACAUCUUUUUUUUGUGUUUGGAUGAAAAGGGAAUCUUGUUAAAAUCAGGAGCUGUCCCCGCAGCUGUAAGUCUAUUUACGUUUUGGUAAUCAAAAAAGUCAUUGUCCCGAUAUAAUUGUAGCUAAUGAGCAAACUUACCCAAAAGGAGGUCAACCA